RNAcentral lists this ribosomal RNA (1234 nucleotides) under metagenome. RNAcentral's name for it is "bacterial LSU rRNA". It matches the Rfam family "Bacterial large subunit ribosomal RNA", at positions 1564 to 2808 of the family's 2925-position model. The record is from RNAcentral.
UGAAUACGAGAUGCUACGGCGUCGAAGCAGUCUAUGUCAUACUUCCAAGAAAAGCUCGCACUGUCAUAAACAAAUAAUGCCUGUACCAUAACCGACACAGGUGGGUAGGUAGAGUAUACUAAGGGGCGCGAGAUAACUCUCUCUAAGGAACUCGGCAAAAUGACUCCGUAACUUCGGGAGAAGGAGUGCCUUAUUUAUAAGGUUGCAAUAACAAGAUCCAAGCAACUGUUUAUCAAAAACACAGGUCUCCGCUAAGUCGUAAGACGAUGUAUGGGGGCUGACGCCUGCCCAGUGCCAGAAGGUUAAAGAAGUUGGUUAGCAUUCGCGAAGCUGAUAACUGAAGCCCUGGUGAACGGCGGCCGUAACAAUAACGGUCCUAAGGUAGCGAAAUUCCUUGUCGGGUAAGUUCCGACCCGCACGAAAGGCGUAAUGAUUUGGAUACUGUCUCGGAGAGGGGCUCGGUGAAAUAGACUUGUCUGUGAAGAUGCGGACUACCUGCACCAGGACAGAAAGACCCUAUGAAGCUUUACUGUAACUUGAGAUUGAAAUUGGACUUUACUUGCGCAGUAUAGGUGGGAGGCGUUGAUAAUAUUCUUGCGGGAUUAUUUGAGCCAUCAGUGAGAUACCACUCUUGUAAUGUUAGAUUUCUAACUUUGUAUCAUUAUCUGGUCAAAGGACAGUUUCAGGCGGGCAGUUUGACUGGGGCGGUCGCCUCCUAAACGGUAACGGAGGCGCACAAAGGUUUCCUCUGAACGGGUAGAAAUCGUAUCUAGAGUGUAAAGGCAUAAGGAAGCUUGACUGUGAGACCUACAAGUCGAGCAGGGACGAAAGUCGGUCUUAGUGAUCUGACGGUGCUGAGUGGAAAGGCCGUCACUCAACGGAUAAAAGUUACUCUAGGAUAACAGGCUGAUCUCCCCCAAGAGUUCACAUCGACGGGGAGGUUUGGCACCUCGAUGUCGGCUCAUCGCAUCCUGGGGCGGUAGUACGUCCCAAGGGUUGGGCUGUUCGCCCAUGAAAGCGGUACGCGAGCUGGGUUCAGAACGUCGUGAGACAGUUCGGUCCAUAUCCGGUGUAGGCGUUAGAAUAUUGAGAGGAGCCUUCUUUAGUACGAGAGGACCGAGAAGGACAUACCUCUGGUGUACCAGUUAUCGUGCCAACGGUAAACGCUGGGUAGCUAUGUAUGGAGUGGAUAACCGCUGAAAGCAUCUAAGUGGGAAGCCCACCUCAAGGUAAG